GAUGAACGCUCGCGGGAGGCCUAACACAUGCAAGCCGAGCGGUAUUUGUUCUUCGGAACAGAGAGAGCGGCGCACGGGUGCGGAACACGUGUGCAACCUGCCUUUAUCUGGGGGAUAGCCUUUCGAAAGGAAGAUUAAUACCCCAUAAUAUAUUGAGUGGCAUCAUUUGAUAUUGAAAACUCCGGUGGAUAGAGAUGGGCACGCGCAAGAUUAGAUAGUUGGUGAGGUAACGGCUCACCAAGUCAAUGAUCUUUAGGGGGCCUGAGAGGGUGAUCCCCCACACUGGUACUGAGACACGGACCAGAAUCCUACGGGAGGCAGCAGUGAGGAAUAUUGGACAAUGGGUUAGCGCCUGAUCCAGCCAUCCCGCGUGAAGGACGACGGCCCUAUGGGUUGUAAACUUCUUUUGUAUAGGGACAAACCUACUCUCGUGAGAGUAGCUGAAGGUACUAUACGAAUAAGCACCGGCUAACUCCGUG
This 479-nucleotide ribosomal RNA is filed under the name uncultured bacterium. RNAcentral describes it as "partial 16S ribosomal RNA". It matches the Rfam family "Bacterial small subunit ribosomal RNA", at positions 28 to 507 of the family's 1533-position model. The record is from RNAcentral.